AUGGACAAUGAGUACUCAAUGGGAUACUAUCUCACCGAUGGCAUCUAUCCCGAAUGGGCAACUCUUGUGAAGUCCAUCAAGGAGAAAAAUGGGGUGCCCUUAACAAGAAAAGAGGCUCAUUUCACCAAGGCACAAGAGGCAGCCCGCAAGGAUAUUGAGAGAGCUUUCGGUGUUUUGCAAGCAAGGUUUGCCAUAGUUCGUGGUCCAGCUCGGUUUUGGGACAAAAAAACCUUGAUGAACAUCAUGAAAUGUUAUGUGAUUCUACACAACAUGAUCCUAGAGGAUGAAAGAGGGUUAAACCUCCCUUGUUUCUGUGACAAUGUUGGUACCCGUGUGCAACCGGAAAGAAAUCCUUCUCGCAUACACGCUUUUCUUCAAGCACAUCGUGAGAUUGAGGAUGCAACCACUCAUGGUCGGCUCCGGGAUGAUCUAAUAGAGCACCACUGGCAGUUGGAUGGGCGGCGCAUUGGCCCAUGA
RNAcentral lists this ribosomal RNA (477 nucleotides) under Triticum aestivum (bread wheat). Its description in RNAcentral is "partial small subunit ribosomal RNA". The record is from RNAcentral. Lineage: Eukaryota; Viridiplantae; Streptophyta; Magnoliopsida; Poales; Poaceae.